Oreochromis niloticus (Nile tilapia) is the source of this 897-nucleotide long non-coding RNA. RefSeq lists it as uncharacterized. The transcript has 3 exons. The record is from RefSeq and is a predicted model, not a curated record. Lineage: Eukaryota; Metazoa; Chordata; Actinopteri; Cichliformes; Cichlidae.
GUGAUCUCCUUUUUGGUCACCUGACUUCCUGUUGGUGUUGCUGAGAUUAGUUGUGGGUUACUCUUCUGAAGCCUCCAUCGCGGCUGGUCGUAGCUGUAGAAGCCUCCUCUGAGCCAUUCUGCUCAUGUUCUAUGACACGGCUUACUUGGAAGUGUGGGCCUGAGUUUUGCGCCAAGCUACGUGAACUGAAGUGCUGCUGUUUUGCUUUGCUUUGCUUUGCUGUGCUUUUACCGUCUGUUCCCGUUGCGAGAUUUCUUUUCCUGCUGCUGCCAGCUUUUACUGUGGACGUCGGCGUGGACAGCAGCCAUAUGCCCGCCGGUUAUGGGAGUCAGCUGGCGUGCAUAUUGAUUGACCGUUAACUUGUAGUGGUGCAGACGGCAAGUUGGAGCAAUACGGCGAUUCCGUUUGCUCCUGAUUUUAGAGUUUUAUCCAGAUUGUACGUUGUUUUCCUGUUGUUUGAUUUGUAGUUUGGAUUUUUGUUAUGCCACUGGUGGGAGGCCCUUUUUCUAGCUGUAGAUCACCAGUGUGGUCCUGCAGUUGGGUUAUCCCCCAGCGUUACACAUUAGUUUGUUGUGAUAUAUUAAAAUUUUCUUUGUUUCUUUUAUUCAGAUGCGGAGCGCCGACGUGGAGGAGACUAGGGUGCCUUGGUGGUGGGAUCCUUUGCGUGUACACACCUGCCUUGUUUAGUUUAUUAGUGUGAGUGUGUGAUAGUGUGCUGCACUUGUGUCUUGGUGUGUUUUCUUUUUUUAGUUUGUGUUUGGCAUCCCUGCCCCUCCACUGGUAAGCCUCAGCUCUGAAUAUCUUUUUAAGCAUAUUUGUACAUGAAUAUUUAUGAUUGUGCUUUUAUAUGGUGUUUUAAAUAAUUAUUAAUAAAUUGUCAAUUUGUUUAUCAUUGAA